UUUGACUUUCGUCUUAUUCAAAAUUUUUUUCGAUUAAUAUUUUUGUUUUUAUUAGAUGAUAAAUCAUGAAUAGUACUUUACAUGUAACUAAUUUUUUUUCUAAUUUUCUAAAAAAAUUUUAAAUAAGACGGAUGAUCAGACACGGAAACCGAAG
RNAcentral lists this microRNA precursor (154 nucleotides) under Oryza brachyantha (malo sina). Its description in RNAcentral is "MIR812 microRNA precursor family". It matches the Rfam family "MIR812 microRNA precursor family", at positions 27 to 193 of the family's 205-position model. The record is from Rfam by way of RNAcentral. Lineage: Eukaryota; Viridiplantae; Streptophyta; Magnoliopsida; Poales; Poaceae.